CUACCGGUCCUUUUCUUGUAUAUGUUCAGUUCGACAUAUGGUGGUUCUCCAGAUCAACAUUGUGUGCUUUUUCAAUUCAUCUUGCAGGUGAAAAAGUAGCUCCCUUUUAGUUCAAAUGGAUCCAAAAAAUGGGUGCUGCAUUACAGUUCAAGACCAUUGCAUCUACUUGCGGAUGGCUUCCAUUUUGUGCUCCAUGGGUGUUUGUUCUUAUUCCUGAAAGAAAGAAAAUAAUCUAUUGCAUGUGAUAGUUCAUCUGAUCUAUAUGAUUUUUUUACCUAUUUUGCUCCAUUUUUUUCCUUACAGAUCAUGAUCUUGAGAGGCUCGCUGUCGAGACUAAAGGGAAAUUCCAUUUUCCAAUUGUUCUUUUAGUAGUACUGUUUCAGUCCAACUUUGAUAGGAUAAUGAGGAUCAGUGAACUUCCAAUGGUUACUUCUUAUAGUUGUUCUUUGUAUUACUUCAUGGGCGAUAGGGAUAUGCACAAGUCGUUGUCGUCCACAUCGUCGCCACAAGGAAACACCAGCAUCACUGCCAGCUACACGCACAUCUUUGGCACGUAGGUUUUUGCACUAAAAAUGUAUGCACUAUUGCACUGAAAGUUGUGGCCAUUUAAUGAAAAAAUAUUUUCUAUAGAACCAGUUUCUCAAGUUGUCGCCGCGUGGACGCGUCCCACUCCAACGGCAUGGCUUAUGCUUCAGUGGCAAACAGUGGAGCCCGCUGGAGGAGUCACGGGUCAAGGACCUCCUGCUCAACAGUACAACGUCUUGUUUUGUGGCAAGUCGCUCAAGGAGCUGAGUGCAUGCCGCA
RNAcentral lists this long non-coding RNA (804 nucleotides) under Triticum aestivum (bread wheat). RNAcentral describes it as "long non-coding RNA (TAES_LNC022607)". Lineage: Eukaryota; Viridiplantae; Streptophyta; Magnoliopsida; Poales; Poaceae. The record is from RNAcentral.